UCCAUCAUUUAGGAUCGUCGGAUCAGUAUCUAACGCACACAAGUCAGUCUGCUGCUCAUUUGCACAUAACCCCUCAACUACAUCUUUCUUGUUCAGGCUUCUCUCUCCCAACUCCUGGAACCAUCUGGAAACAAAUCGAAUCACCGAUGGACAUCACUUAAAUCGAUCUGGCAGCGGCGCGAGGCGGCGGCUGCUGGCGCCAUCCACCUCCUGCGCCUCUCAUGCUUCUCAGCCCCACGGCCCACCACCAUGACGCACCUCCACCUCAACGUCCUCUCUACCCCUUUCCCGUCUCCUCCAACGCCGACCUCGGCAAGCACGCCGUCGAAGUCGUCCAUCUGCGGACGCCUCUCCUGCGUUCUCCUCUAACACCGCAGUUAGCACUCCCAUCACCGCCACCUCCCCGUGCUCCUCAUCAUCCCCUCCACUCCUCCCCAUCUCCUUUGUUCCCAGCCACCACAAGUACGCCGCCGGCGCCAUCAGUGCCACAACGCCUCUCCUACCUCCACCCUUUAUUGAUCCAGCAGCCGUACUUCCCACUCCCACCACCUCCACUUCCUCAUCGUCGUCUCCUCCGACACUGACCUCCGCAGCUAUUUCUGAAUUUCAGGGUUGUGGCAGCAAGGGCGAGGUGCAUGAUAGUGACACAAAGAUGGGCGAGCACGGGGAAUGUAGGAACGUGCAAGGUGUUGUGCCGCAGUUACUGCUGCAAGGAUGACUAUGGCGGCAACUGUUUGCACAAUAACUAAUUCAUGGCAUAGGUGAGGAUGAUAUUUUUUUAUUUAUCAGUAGUCAUAUUUGUCAGAUUAAGACCACAUGUAAUCAUUCCAGCACCUCGUAUCAUAAGAACUAGCCUAAAAUGAUUAUGCUUGAUCUUUUAAGCCAGUUGGUAUUUUUUUACAGAAAAUAUUUUUCACCAAGGAAGGUAAUUAUAAUAAGCAUCAACGUCAGCAUGAUUUUUUUAAAGAUAAACUGAAGUAUGUUAAAAUAUAGUCAGGAGAUCCUGAUCUUACUAAGUGCAGAGUUCCCCAAGAAUAUAGUCAGAACAUUAUUUUUUAUGUUUUGCUCAAGUAGCAAGCAGUAGCAGGCAGUAGGUGACUUUGGUUUUCAUCGUGUUACAGUCAAUCCCUGCUUUAUCUAAUGUAAGAAGCAGGUGAAAGUUUGUUCAACUAAGUAGUAAUCCAAUGAUAUAUAUACAGCAAAGGUUUCCUGCCAGGACCAUUGCCUCCAGUUUCUUGAUGUACGUUGACCAUUUAUUUCUAAGAUGUAACAUAUACCAAGGCACCUAUCUGAUACACUGAGAGGGUGUGGUGAGUGGAGUGGAGGUAUGUGGUGCACUGAGAGGGUGAAGCAGAGCCUGAAAGUUUGUCUGAUUUCCUGCGCUUGGGGACGCGCUGCUUUGUAGAAAAGUUGGAUACUAUGAUUUUGUAUAGUGAUGGGAGAUAGUCUUUGAUACUCUACUUUGUGGCGGGGGAGAUAUAUGUCGUGUUACUGCUGUCAUAUUCUUGCGUGUCUAAGCUUAAUAACAAUUGAUUAGAUUGUUAAUUUUUCGCGACGCAACUUCAUGAGGACGCGUUUCUUGUGUCGAGUCAUGUAUGUUUCAUGAGACUAUUGGUUUUAAGAAACAAAAUCAUGUGAUAUUUUCAUUGGUAAUGCAGUGCACAAUAAAGUCCUGAUUUUAAUUUGUACCACUCUAUUUUGUGCAUUAGAUUGGUAAGGUUCACCUCCUGGUUUUUUUACCCUUUCUUCUUUUGUUCCCCAAAAGGACACAUUACUAGGUCCCUUGUUUUUUUAAAAUAAAAAAUGCCUCUUUAUUCAUUCGUAUACAUCAUUAUAAUGUUCCUAAAAGAGAUAGAAUUGAUGGUGGUGGUACUUCAAUCCAACAAGUAGCUUCAUUAAACGUCAGGAAGACGGACCAGUUCAUGGGCAAUAGCAUCCGCCUCUCGAUACUCAUGUUCAAACACCACUUUGGUAAACUCUGAAGACAAGAAAUAACUAUCAUUGGCAACUGCUGCAACACUGCCCGCCAGUGCAAGCUGCUAUUCAUGACUUCGAUGACUUGGCUAUUGUCCGAGCAAAUAAUCAAUCUAUUGUCGAAAGUAGAAAAUUAAGCAGACAAGGAUAGGAAGAGAAACUAGAAAAUUAAGAUGGUUAGUGUCUGUCUCAGUUGUCACAUGUAUGUGGACGGAUUUUCUUAUUGUUGCAUGAUCUCUGUCACCACCUCGAUAUACGAUAGAGCGAGCAAUGAGAUGAGCAUGGAGAACAAAUCCUCCCGUGAGGCAAAGAUGAAGAAGAAAAUGUUUCGCUUGGACGAAGAGGUUUAUCGAUUGGAAACCAUAUGUUUGACUGUGCUUGAUGUGUACCUAUCAAUAAUAUAUUGUCACUUUGAUUA
Triticum urartu is the source of this 2392-nucleotide non-coding RNA. The record is from RefSeq and is a predicted model, not a curated record. NCBI's taxonomy places the organism in Eukaryota, Viridiplantae, Streptophyta, Magnoliopsida, Poales, Poaceae.